This 237-nucleotide ribosomal RNA is filed under the name uncultured bacterium. Its description in RNAcentral is "partial 16S ribosomal RNA". It matches the Rfam family "Bacterial small subunit ribosomal RNA", at positions 524 to 758 of the family's 1533-position model. The record is from RNAcentral.
GACGAACCGUGCGAACGUUUAUUCGGAAUCACGUGGGCUUAAAGGGCGCGUAGGCGGGGUCGGUAAGUCAGGGGUGGAAAUCCCACGGCCCAACCGUGGAAGUGCCUCUGAUACUGCCGGCCUCGAGGGGGAUAGGGGCGUGCGGAACUCAGGGUGGAGCGGUGAAAUGCGUAGAUAUCCUGAGGACACCGGUGGCGAAAGCGGCGCGCUGGAUCCUUCUGACGCUGAGGCGCGAAA